This 45-nucleotide non-coding RNA is filed under the name Schistosoma bovis. The record is from RNAcentral. RNAcentral also lists the same sequence under 1 other name. Lineage: Eukaryota; Metazoa; Platyhelminthes; Trematoda; Strigeidida; Schistosomatidae.
AUCCAGCUGAGGAGUCUCAAAUAGGAUGAAAUGCACGUGCUGGGU